This 330-nucleotide ribosomal RNA is filed under the name Clostridioides difficile. RNAcentral's name for it is "bacterial SSU rRNA". It matches the Rfam family "Bacterial small subunit ribosomal RNA", at positions 228 to 575 of the family's 1533-position model. The record is from RNAcentral. Lineage: Bacteria; Bacillati; Bacillota; Clostridia; Peptostreptococcales; Peptostreptococcaceae.
GACCCGCGUCUGAUUAGCUAGUUGGUAAGGUAACGGCUUACCAAGGCGACGAUCAGUAGCCGACCUGAGAGGGUGAUCGGCCACAUUGGAACUGAGACACGGUCCAAACUCCUACGGGAGGCAGCAGGGGGGAAUAUUGCACAAUGGGCGAAAGCCUGAUGCAGCAACGCCGCGUGAGUGAUGAAGGCCUUCGGGUCGUAAAACUCUGUCCUCAAGGAAGAUAAUGACGGUACUUGAGGAGGAAGCCCCGGCUAACUACGUGCCAGCAGCCGCGGUAAUACGUAGGGGGCUAGCGUUAUCCGGAUUUACUGGGCGUAAAGGGUGCGUAGG